AAAUGGCGUGUUAUCUGUACACAUUUUGAGCUAUCCACGUGUAUGUCUACGCUGUAUACAGCGGAUGUUGCCACGUGCCGUGUUAUCGCAAGAACGUGCCAUGCUAUCGCGGGAACAGCGUCACGUGUGUAAAAAAAAAAAGGUUGGGUUUAGGAAAAGAACAUUGGGGAAGGCUUUAUUUAAAAAAAAAAAAAAAAAAAAAAGGUUGAUAAACGCCACACACAGGACACGAUCCUGGCUCUCCUGGGUGAAAGUCCUGUGUUUUAUCCAUCCACCACCCCAACUAACCUCUGUCCUUUCAUACUAUUCGCUAUGGCGAUAAUUCACAUGUAAUGUAGGUCAAUGGAGGCCAAACGGCGUUGAUAAACACGCUAAAAAACGAUUACGCGUCUUGAUAACAUGCAAAAACGGCAUACGAAUUGGUGUGUCAUACAUACGCCACUUUGUGAGAUCAGUCUGCAAUUCAGAGUGU
Long non-coding RNA from Sander lucioperca (pikeperch), 472 nucleotides. RefSeq lists it as uncharacterized. The record is from RefSeq and is a predicted model, not a curated record. Lineage: Eukaryota; Metazoa; Chordata; Actinopteri; Perciformes; Percidae. The transcript has 3 exons.